UUCUUUCUUAGAUUUUCAACCCAUGAAAGUGCAGCCCAUGCCAUUGUUUCGGUGAACGGUACUACGAUUGAAGGACAUGUGGUUAAAUGCUAUUGGGGUAAAGAAUCUCCUGAUAUGACUAAAAACUUCCAACAGGUGUCACCACCCCAAUAAACUUAGACAAUGAUAAAUAACAGAGUCCUAUUCACAUAAGGGUUGACUAUAGUCAAUGGGGCCAAUGGAGCCAAGUGUAUGGAAACCCACAACAGUAUGGACAGUAUAUGGCAAAUGGGUGGCAAGUACCGCCUUAUGGAGUAUACGGGCAACCAUGGAAUCAACAAGGAUUUGGAGUAGAUCAAUCACCUUCUGCUGCUUGGAUGGGUGGAUUUGGUGCUCAGCCUCCCCAAGGACAAGCUCCUCCCCCUGUAAUACCUCCUCCUAACCAAGCCGGAUAUGGUAUGGCAAGUUACCAAACACAGUGAGCCGGGACUCUAAAAAAAAAUUGUAAUUCAUGAUAGGCUUCGAUUUCCUGUGACACUCUGAAGACAUGAAAGUAGACAUCGGAAAAUGAAAAUAUUUAUUUUAAAAAUUGAAAUGUUUGGAACCUUUAGCACAGAUUUGCUUUGGUGAAGGACACGUGUCUUCUAGUUCUGCCUUUUUAAGUUUUUGUUCAUGAUGGAUAUGAACAUGAUUUUUCUUUAUGUACAAAAACUAAAAUAAAGUCAAUAAAGACAAUUCUGACUACAAAUUUUGAUAUAAUAGGAAAAAUGGCUAAUACAUUUUGAUUCUUAGAUACUAUUCCAUUUUUAUCUUGCUGUUCAGUAUUUUAACUCACUGUGUUUUUAAAAGAGCAAAAAAGGGAGGAUCGUGAAAACCUGGGAAUCACAUAUAAGUUCAUCCUGAAUCCUGAUACUCCCCUCCCCUUCCC
RNAcentral lists this long non-coding RNA (907 nucleotides) under Homo sapiens (human). Its description in RNAcentral is "non-protein coding lnc-RGS10-1:1". Lineage: Eukaryota; Metazoa; Chordata; Mammalia; Primates; Hominidae. The record is from RNAcentral.